AACGGUUUCCGUACGAUCAACGAAGUUAAGCAACGACGAGCCUGGUCAGUACCUAGAUGAGUGACCGUGUAGGAAUAUCAGGUGCUGUUA
Molecule: non-coding RNA, 90 nt
Organism: Acanthosepion pharaonis
Lineage: Eukaryota; Metazoa; Mollusca; Cephalopoda; Sepiida; Sepiidae
Source: the annotation of a GenBank genome assembly